ACGUACACUCUACGGGAGGCAGCAGUGGGGAAUUUUGGACAAUGGGCGAAAGCCUGAUCCAGCAAUGCCGCGUGAGUGAAGAAGGCCUUCGGGUUGUAAAGCUCUUUUGUCAGGGAAGAAACGGUGAAAGCUAAUAUCUUUUGCUAAUGACGGUACCUGAAGAAUAAGCACCGGCUAACUACGUGCCAGCAGCCGCGGUAAUACGUAGGGUGCAAGCGUUAAUCGGAAUUACUGGGCGUAAAGCGUGCGCAGGCGGUUUUGUAAGUCUGAUGUGAAAUCCCCGGGCUCAACCUGGGAAUUGCAUUGGAGACUGCAAGGCUAGAAUCUGGCAGAGGGGGGUAGAAUUCCACGUGUAGCAGUGAAAUGCGUAGAUAUGUGGAGGAACACCGAUGGCGAAGGCAGCCCCCUGGGUCAAGAUUGACGCUCAUGCACGAAAGCGUGGGGAGCAAACAGGAUUAGAAACCCGAGUAGUCCCAUGA
This 479-nucleotide ribosomal RNA is filed under the name uncultured organism. Its description in RNAcentral is "partial 16S ribosomal RNA". It matches the Rfam family "Bacterial small subunit ribosomal RNA", at positions 329 to 800 of the family's 1533-position model. The record is from RNAcentral.